Molecule: unclassified non-coding RNA, 373 nt
Filed under: Hevea brasiliensis (rubber tree)
Lineage: Eukaryota; Viridiplantae; Streptophyta; Magnoliopsida; Malpighiales; Euphorbiaceae
Source: RNAcentral
UGAUUUCAAUCCCUUGACUGGCAUCAGAAGUUGAUAAAUUCCCAUGACAAGCUACAGCAGGAGUGCAUUCCUCUGAAACAAACUGGACUCUAGUUUCUUUCUCAUUAUUUUCUGGCAAACUACACUCUGGUUCAUCACUGCAAUCACCAGAAGAGAGUUCUCGAGGGCAAUUUUCUAGGAGCUCAGAAAUUAGUCUCUGGAUAAGAGUACGCUUCAGAGAUGCCUCAGCAGGGGGAAACCAAUCCACAUUAAGAAACUUGGAGAACUCGUUUAUUUUGAAUGGGGUGAAAUUCACAGGAGCCUCCGCCAAAAAUAACUCCAGGUAGUGGAGCAGGAACAGGCCGCAAUCAAAUGAAUUUUCCUGCUGUGGCAA